RNAcentral lists this long non-coding RNA (361 nucleotides) under Mytilus galloprovincialis (Mediterranean mussel). The record is from RNAcentral. Lineage: Eukaryota; Metazoa; Mollusca; Bivalvia; Mytilida; Mytilidae.
AUCAAGUUUCUCAGUAUUCUGUAGCGCAUUCAAGUAAUCGUUAAAGAAAACAAAACAGUUAUUUCAUUAAAUUUAAAACUUACCAAAUAAAUUAAGAAUAUUCCAACAUACAAGAAUGAAUAAAACGCACGUGUUCAAGAUACAUAAUAAACAUCUAUACCACGUGAUAUACAAUUAAAAUAAGUAGAAAAACGUAAACAGAGAGAACGUAUGUUUUCCGGAUUUUAUUGCUAUGCAGUUUUUUGUAAACUAUAUAGAUUGUAAUAAUAUAUUAACCACUUUUGAAACUUAUAAUAAGUUUAUCUUGUGAAUCCCCUGGUUCAUUUGAUAAUUCACACACAGGGAUAAACCUAUCUGGGAU